RNAcentral lists this long non-coding RNA (450 nucleotides) under Pogona vitticeps (central bearded dragon). RNAcentral describes it as "lncRNA (ENSPVIG00000000552.1)". The record is from RNAcentral. Lineage: Eukaryota; Metazoa; Chordata; Lepidosauria; Squamata; Agamidae.
AUUCCCUCCUCCUGGCAAAAGGCAGGCGUUGGUUGUUUCCCCCUGCAGGAAGAAAGGCACUCUGCACAUGCUUGGGUUGGGUUUUGCUUGGCACCUGCUUUGACAGGGACAGGAGCAAACGGAUCCGUCUCCGGGCCAAAUCCCUGGCGGGCAGAGAGGACAGGCCGUCGCUUGCAUCUCCACCCUGUGACCUUCGCUGAAGAAUCUGUGGGGAGGUGGCUGUGCAUUUCAACCAGGGGAGCAAGGGUGUGCUGGACUGAGGCCAGACAGCUCCGCAGAAAGACGUCAUGCUGGAGGCUGAAGGGAACGAGGCCUCUCCAGGUAAGGGAUCCCUUUGCAUUUCAUAUUUGUAUUUUUCACCGCACUGUUGACCUGGUUGGAAGUGGGCAACCAGAUCCUAUGCCUUCGAAGCUGCCUUGCGCCUGGCUUGAGCUUUGCUGGUACCAUUUU